UGUUUCUACAGAAGUCACUUGAUACGAACAGACAGACAGGUGGAAAAGGCAGAGAUGAUGCCAAAUAUGAUUGCUGCGGUAACGGGACUAAUGUUUAUCAUGCCUGCUGUAUAUAGUGCAUUUACCGAAGAACAUUCCAAAACGAUGCCGAAGGAAAACAUUUUUGAAUUCGCAUCAUCGCGUAACAUGCUUGGAGUAGAUUACGAUGACAAAAGAGGGUUUUGGGACAAAAGAGGUUAUG
Long non-coding RNA from Mytilus californianus (California mussel), 241 nucleotides. RefSeq lists it as uncharacterized. The transcript is spliced from 2 exons. The record is from RefSeq and is a predicted model, not a curated record. NCBI's taxonomy places the organism in Eukaryota, Metazoa, Mollusca, Bivalvia, Mytilida, Mytilidae.